AUGGAUGUAUAUAUAAAGGGACCAUGGUAAUAUGUUUUUUAAAACGUUAAAAGAUAAAGCCGAUACAUACUGUGUCCUGUCUGUGUAACUUACCUGAAGGAUGGAUAGAAAACAUAUUAUUUCUGUAUUGGCAUUUUUUUCUCUCUUGUUAAUCGCCCUAGUUAGCUUGAUCUUGACAUGUGGACUUUUUGCUACCGCUGAUCGAGAUAACGUCACCACUAAAAGGAAUAAGACAACAAGUACAAAUCUACAAAACCGAACAAUGCAGUUGCAUGCCAUGAAGGACAAAUACGGCCAAAACUAUCUAAGAUUUGAUUUAAUCAAUUCUGAAUUGGAAAUGUUCACAUAUCAUCACUCACCAGCUAUGGUAUGCCAAGAAAGCGGUUUUUACAACUUUACGCUAUACGUAGUUUAUAAUGAAGAAAACUGCAGAGAAGUAAAUAGCCAUAUAGAUAAUGGGGUCGUUCACAUACAAGUGAUGAAAUCUGAAGACAAUACAAUUGUCAAAGAUCACACAGAAAAGUUUUGGAGCCGUCCGGGCUAUACAUGGAUGGUUCAUGCAACUUUAGAUUUUCACACAAAAUGUCGACAAGGAUUGUUGAUCAAUUCUACAUUCAUUGACUGUAUCUCAUGGAACGAAUCAUACCUAAAUGUCAGUAAGGUCAGUUUAUGAAAAUUACUGUGUAGAUGACCCGGACUAUCAUGUGUUUAUGCUGUCGAUGAACUGAUAAGACUGCAGUGUGGCCCGUAUGAAGUUAUGAUGUUGAUGAACUGUUAAGUCUGCAGUGUGGCCCGUAUGAAGUUAUGAUGUUGAACUGUUAAGACUGUGGUGUGGUCCUGUGAUCUGAUGGUGUUGAUUUGUCGCGUGGUCCUGUGUAACUUGAUGUUUUGGCGGACUGUUAAAACUGUUAUGUGGCCAGUGUGACUUAUUGUUGAUGGACUCUCAAAGCUGCCUUGUAUCUAUACAUGACCAAUCAUAUCAUCCUCUCUAUCGUCGUCGUCGUCGGCGUCAUUGCUUCUUUUGCUCAAUAAUAAAAAGUUAUGAUGACUUCAUUUAAA
Long non-coding RNA from Pecten maximus, 1059 nucleotides. RefSeq lists it as uncharacterized. The record is from RefSeq and is a predicted model, not a curated record. The transcript is spliced from 2 exons. NCBI's taxonomy places the organism in Eukaryota, Metazoa, Mollusca, Bivalvia, Pectinida, Pectinidae.